AUUAAUCAUCUAGAGAAUUUGUAAAAAUGGAGAUUCUGAUACAAUCAGUCUGGUGUGCUGAGUUCCUGCAUUUCCCACAAGCUCCCAGGUGAAACUACA
Molecule: microRNA precursor, 99 nt
Filed under: Marmota monax (woodchuck)
Lineage: Eukaryota; Metazoa; Chordata; Mammalia; Rodentia; Sciuridae
Source: RNAcentral